AUUUUAUUUGUCAUACUUUACUUAGAUCACUUGAAGAGAAUACAGCGUCAGAUAUUUCAAACUAUGUGGGGGAGACAAUUAUUAUUACCUGUUUUACUGUACCAAGUUGUUUUCCUUCAAGAUGUGUUCAGCUACUCAGACGAUGAUACCACAGAUAAUAAAAUCGUGGGAGGGCGUUACAUCAGAAUUGAACAAGUUCCUUUUCAAGCUUUUGUGUUAACAGAUAAGAAUACUUGUGGAGGAGUCAUAUAUAGUAAAAAAUGUGUUAUGACUGCCGCACAUUGUGUAGUAAAUACAACAAAAGUUCAAGUAAGAGUGGGAUUUACCCAAUGGGAUGAUUCAGAAGAAAAAUAUCCAUACAGGAAUGGAACCGCUAUCGUGCAUGAAAAAUAUAACAAUACUGAUAAAAAACAUCAAAAUUUUGAUUAUGACAUAGCAAUCAUAAAAUUAUUUAAAGAGUUAGAAGUUGAUGAUGUUAGAAUAGCCAUAGCCAAAUUAGUCGGAUCAGGAGAGCAGCUUGCUGAUGGUACAAACUGCACAGUGUCUGGAUGGGGAUCUUUAAGAGAUAACUCUAUAGCCUCUGCGUAUUUAAAGGCAGCCUAUGUUAAGAAAGUAAAUUAUAAUGAAUGUAAAAAAGUCUUCAAAAAACAACUUACACCUAGAAUGGUUUGUGCUGGUUCUUUUUAUUCUGGCGGGUACCGAUUUACGAAUGUGUGUCGGGGUGAUUCUGGUGGUCCCCUCUUUGACACUCGUACCAAGAAAGUCGCAGGAUUGACGUCUCAUCUAUUCGAUUGCGAUAUAAAUUUGCCUGCAGCUUUUACCAACUUAGCGGAUCCUGGUAUUAGCGAAUGGAUUAAAAAUCAUACACAAUGCGAAAAUUAAAUCAAGAGAAAUUUAAGAAAAUAUUUCCUUUGAUUAUUUUUCAUUUGAUUUUAUUUGUAUCUUCAGUAUGUGUGUGACAAAAUAAUUUAAAUUUAGUGCUUCGUUUCACAUUGAUCCUUCUUUAGUUAAGAAUGCUUAUUUACAGAGAAGAUUGUUUCAAAGUCACAAUAUGUAGAACUAAUUGCAUGUAUUUUUUUCUGUAUUUCUCUCCGUAUUAUCAGCACAUUCAUUGAUAGAUAUAGCUAAACUUUUUUCGUUAAAUCUGGACUAAGUAUUAACUUACUGGCUGGUCAAAUAAUUAAGAAGGCUGUAUAUUUUAUUAUUUUAUUCAAAUUAUAAAACUGAACACUCUAUGGCUCUCUGGUAACUAUUCUUAUAUUUUUCCCUCCAUUUAGUGCUGUAAAAGUCUUGAUGGUGAUUGCUUCAAAAGUAAAGUUAUUAUAAAUCUAUAAGAAAAAUAAUAAUAAAAGUUCGCGAGAAGGUUUGCUCGUAUCAAAAUAUAGCUCAUCUUGUAAUUCUCAAUAAAGAUGUUUUUUAGCACGCUGUGAAGCAUUUUGCCACGUAUCAAUCAACUUCAAAUGUUCCGCGUGUACAUAAAGUGAGAAAGUUAUCUCGUCGAGAUGAUCGCAAUAUCGUUCGUUAAACAAACAACAAACAAAAUCAUUCCGAAGUGUCCAAUGUGCUGAGAAAGAAUAUUUGAUGAAAACCUUCAGCAAUCUCGGUACGCACUAUUCAAAGGCGUUUGGUAGAAGAAAAGUUGCACGGUAGGAUAGCAAGGAAGGUGUCCAUGUUGAAACCGCGACAUAGUGAAGCUCGGCUUGUAUUUGUAAGAAGGUAUGAAAACUGGACGGUUAGACAGUGGAAAAAUAUUACUUUUUAACGAGACAAAAAUAAAUAGGGUAUGUUCUUAGACAUAGUGUCGGACCUGCUAAGCUGGUUGAAGGAAACAUGGAUAAACUCAAAUACAAAAAUAUACUUGAAGAAACAAUGUUACCUUGCUAUAGACGUUCUUCCAGUUAUUUGGACAUUCCAGCAUGGCAAUUACCCAAAGAAUAUUGCACGCAUUGUUAAGAAAUUUCUUACAUCAUAUACAGUUUCAUUCUUAGCCUAACUAUGAACCCGAUAGAGCGUAUUUGGCGGAAGUGGAAGAAAAAUGAUUCAUAUCUUGGGUGGCAACUUUUGAGAGCCAUUCGACGUUUUUCUAGAAGAAUAUGUCAAAAAAUUAAUAGAGUCAAUACCUCGUUGUUAUAAAGCAGUAAUAAAAAGCCAUGGACAAGCUACUAGCUAUUAAUUUUAGUUUAAAUGCAAUAAAUAAAUUGAAUAUUUUUCUUCCCGCACUUCAAAUUAAUGUGAUUUAAGUUUCAUAUAAAACAAUUCUCAAGCAGUUUGAUAAAUUGUUCUUAAUUAUUAGUCCAGCUUCAUUACUAUUUGAAUUUGUCAAUAGAGAUAAUAAAAUAAAAAGUGUGUGUAAAAUAAA
Molecule: long non-coding RNA, 2359 nt
Organism: Leptidea sinapis
Lineage: Eukaryota; Metazoa; Arthropoda; Insecta; Lepidoptera; Pieridae
Exons: 6
Source: RefSeq, a predicted model, not a curated record